RNAcentral lists this ribosomal RNA (133 nucleotides) under Astragalus leucocephalus. RNAcentral's name for it is "partial 18S ribosomal RNA". It matches the Rfam family "Eukaryotic small subunit ribosomal RNA", at positions 1703 to 1831 of the family's 1831-position model. RNAcentral also lists the same sequence under 2 other names. The record is from RNAcentral. Lineage: Eukaryota; Viridiplantae; Streptophyta; Magnoliopsida; Fabales; Fabaceae.
GAAGUGUUCGGAUUGCGGCGACGUGGGCGGUUCGCUGCCCGCGACGUUGUGAGAAGUCCACUGAACCUUAUCAUUUAGAGGAAGGAGAAGUCGUAACAAGGUUUCCGUAGGUGAACCUGCGGAAGGAUCAUUG